This is a long non-coding RNA of Pundamilia nyererei, 245 nucleotides long. RefSeq lists it as uncharacterized. The transcript has 3 exons. The record is from RefSeq and is a predicted model, not a curated record. Lineage: Eukaryota; Metazoa; Chordata; Actinopteri; Cichliformes; Cichlidae.
GGCCGACCUCCAGGGACCUGGAGGAAUCCAGAGCAGAGGCUACUUUCUCUAUCGGCCACGGAAUGGGAGAAGAUCCUUAGAGUAUGAAUGAACUAAAGAGUCUCCACCUCUGAAGCUUAGUGUACAGAGACAAAACAGACCCUGAGACCCAGGCUGCUGCACCGCCACUGAGUGAUCCGGACAUCAAACACAUCCCUCUGCCUCUGCUUUAUAGUGAUGUUUGAAUGUACACAAUGGAUAUUAAU